This 477-nucleotide ribosomal RNA is filed under the name uncultured bacterium. RNAcentral's name for it is "partial 16S ribosomal RNA". It matches the Rfam family "Bacterial small subunit ribosomal RNA", at positions 28 to 507 of the family's 1533-position model. The record is from RNAcentral.
GAUGAACGCUGGCGGCGUGCAUAACACAUGCAAGUCGAACGAUGAAACCUAGUAUACUUCUUCGGAAAGACACUAAGCGGAUUAGUGGCGAACGGGUGAGUAACCCGUGAGUAGCCUGGCUUACACAAGGGGAUAGUCUCUGGAAACGAAAAAUAAUAUCCUAUAAGACCAUAAAAGCACAUGCUAGAAUGGUCAUAGUGAUAGCGGUGUAAGAUGGACUUGCGACUGACUAGCUUGUUGGUGAGAUAAAACCCCACAAAGGGAACGAACAGUCGCCGGCUUGGGAGAGUGUACGGCCUCAUUGCGACAGAGACCCGGCCCAGACUCCGGCGGGAGGCAGCAGUGGGGAAUUGUGCACAGUGAGGGACACACUGAUGCAGCGCCGCCGCGUGAAUGAGAAGGCCUUGGGGUUGUACAAAUCUUUUGUAUAAGAAGAAAAUGACGGUACUAAACGAAUAAGGUCCGGCUAACUACGUG